CGGACGGGUGAGUAACGCGUGGGUAACCUGCCUUGUACUGGGGGACAACAGUUAGAAAUGACUGCUAAUACCGCAUAAGCGCACAGUAUCGCAUGAUACAGUGUGAAAAACUCCGGUGGUACAAGAUGGACCCGCGUCUGAUUGGCUAGUUGGUAAGGUAACGGCUUACCAAGGCGACGAUCAGUAGCCGACCUGAGAGGGUGACCGGCCACAUUGGGACUGAGACACGGCCCAA
RNAcentral lists this ribosomal RNA (235 nucleotides) under uncultured bacterium. RNAcentral describes it as "partial 16S ribosomal RNA". It matches the Rfam family "Bacterial small subunit ribosomal RNA", at positions 99 to 334 of the family's 1533-position model. The record is from RNAcentral.